This 246-nucleotide ribosomal RNA is filed under the name uncultured Bacillus sp. RNAcentral's name for it is "partial 16S ribosomal RNA". The stretch from base 1 to 208 matches the Rfam family "Bacterial small subunit ribosomal RNA", at positions 338 to 537 of the family's 1533-position model. Lineage: Bacteria; Bacillati; Bacillota; Bacilli; Caryophanales; Bacillaceae. The record is from RNAcentral.
CCUACGGGAGGCAGCAGUAGGGAAUCUUCCGCAAUGGACGAAAGUCUGACGGAGCAACGCCGCGUGAGUGAUGAAGGUUUUCGGAUCGUAAAACUCUGUUGUUAGGGAAGAACAAGUAUCGUUCGAAUAGGGCGGUACCUUGACGGUACCUAACCAGAAAGCCACGGCUAACUACGUGCCAGCAGCCGCGGUAAUACGUAGGUGCCAGCAGCCGCGGUAAUACGUAGGUCCAGCAGCCGCGGUAAU